UACAGAGGGUGCGAGCGUUGUUCGGAAUCAUUGGGCGUAAAGCGCGUGUAGGCGGUGGUGUAUGUCGGGUGUGAAAUCCCUCGGCUCAACUGAGGAAGUGCGCCCGAAACCACACCGCUAGAGUGCCGGAGAGGGUGGCGGAAUUCCCGGUGUAGAGGUGAAAUUCGUAGAUAUCGGGAGGAACACCAGUGGCGAAGGCGGCCACCUGGACGGACACUGACGCUGAGACGCGAAAGCGUGGGGAG
RNAcentral lists this ribosomal RNA (245 nucleotides) under uncultured bacterium. Its description in RNAcentral is "partial 16S ribosomal RNA". It matches the Rfam family "Bacterial small subunit ribosomal RNA", at positions 524 to 768 of the family's 1533-position model. The record is from RNAcentral.